GCCUGGUGGGAGCAGCGCCCGGGCGCCGCGCUCCUCCUGCGGCGGCGUUGGCGGCGGGCGGGAUGCGCGGCCCGGCCCGCGGCAGCUGUGAAUUCUUGUAGAAGAUUGAUAGCUCUGCCAACAUUUGUCCACAAUAGAAGAUGGGUGGAUUAAUUUCAAGAUGGAGGCAGGCAAAGCCUUCCACUGUAGAAGUAUUAGAGAAAAUAGAUAAGGAAAUACAGACAUUAGAAGAAUUUAGAGAAAAAAAUCAGAGGCUACAGAAACUAUGGGUUGGAAGGCUUCUUCUCUACUCCUCAGUUCUUUACCUUAUUACUUGCUUAAUUGUAUAUUUGUGGUGUCUUCCUGAUGAAUGGACAGCAAGGCUGACAAUGACACUUCCAUUUUUUGCAUUUCCAUUGAUAAUCUGGUGUAUAAGAACUCUGCUAAUUUUUUUCUUUUCCAAACGGACAGAAAGAAAUAAUGAUGCGCUGGAAGAUUUAAAAUCCCAAAAGAAAAAAAUACUUGAGGAAGUAAUGGAAAAGGAAACCUACAAGAAUGCUAAACUAAUCCUUGAAAGGUUUGAUCCAGAAUCAAGUGCAAAGGACACUGAACUACCAUCUGCUGGAACAUCUGCAACCCCAAGACCUGGACAAGAAAUUCGUCAGAGGACUGCAGCUCAGAGAAAUGCUUCUACACCCCCACCUGCAACUCCUAAGCAAGGCUCUCCCAAGUCCCCUGCUCCAGCAUCUCCUACCCUGCAGAGAGAGGGCCCAGCUGUGGGCGGGCUCCCAGAAAGAGCUGCUGCGCCAUCCUUGCAAUCCAACGUUUUACCACGGCGCCCUGGAUCCCCUGCUACUUCAGUGCCUGGAAUGGGUCUUCAUCCUCCAGGCCCCCCUUUGGCAAGACCUGUUCUUCCUCGAGAAAGGGGAGUUGUGGAUAGAGUUAUUGAAUAUUUGGUUGGUGAUGGUCCUCAGAACAGGUAUGCCCUUAUAUGUCAGCAAUGUUUUUCUCACAAUGGUAUGGCUUUGAAGGAGGAGUUUGAAUACAUAGCAUUUAGAUGUGCCUACUGCUUCUUCCUGAAUCCUGCAAGAAAAACUAGACCUCGAGCUCCACGACUUCCAGACUUCAGUUUUGAAAAAAGGCCAACUACAGAAUUGCGAUCGGAAACGGAGCCUCUAGAACCCAGAGAGAGAAGGCCCCAGGAGACUGAACAGGCAAAAGACUCUGAAGAUGAUGGGGCCCAGCUCGUUGAGACAAAUGACACAGAUGAUAAAGCACCAAGUUCUGAGCAUCUAAAUGAUAAGCUAGCUGAAGAAGUCAAAAAAGAAGCAGAAAACAUUUCAACAACUGAAGAGGCUAUUUCAGAGUAUACUUCAGCUGAACAAAGUGAAGAAUCUUUAAUAAAAGCAGAAUAAAAUACUCAAGUGCCUUCUCUAGCUAGUUUUUAGCUUUGUUCAUGCCUGUUGUUACUAUUCAGAAGCUGGAUUUGUAGAAAACUCAAGCAACAAAGACCUUCCAGCUCUUCUCAAGUGGUCUGCUCUCUAAUUCCUUGCAUCACUUCAAGGAGUUCUGCUCAGUUGAUGAAACUUAAUUUUUGACUUGUUCAACACUCAAAAACAUUUUACAAAAUCACCAAGAAAAUUCCUUUUUAAGAAAACUGUUUUGAAUUGUGUUUUAAAGAAAAUGUGAAAGUUAUUUCUUUAGGAAUGUUUGUACUUGCAUUUUUUGUAUAGUGAGCUUUUAUUUAAACAGGAGUACCUGUAUAUUUAUAGAUGCUAUUGUUGUGAUAGCCUUGUUGCAUUAGUAAAGGGUAUGCUUGUUUAUGUACUAUAAAUAUUAUCUUUAAUCAGAAAUAUUAUCUUUAAUCAUUCUAAUCCUAGAUGUAGCCUUGACUAUACAUCACCUGCAGCUGAAAUUCCAUUAAAAUCAAUGGCAAAAACAUUAAUUAGUGUGAAUUCUUAGGCUCUAAGAGACUUCCUGAAAUGUCUGUCUUAGCUUUUCUGCUUGUAAUUGAGAAAAUAUUUGAACUUGUGCUCCCCUUUUGAAACUUACUGUUUUACCAAAUGAAGCAAAUUUUAAAGCAUAUCAAAUGAAAUUGCAGUUUGUUAUUUGAACAUAUGCUGUCUUUGCUGUGUAUCUAACUUCUUGAGGAAAAAACUGAUCAUGAAAAAGCUA
Melospiza georgiana is the source of this 2154-nucleotide RNA transcript. It is a transcript of the gene named lunapark, ER junction formation factor, with no coding region annotated. The transcript is spliced from 14 exons. The record is from RefSeq and is a predicted model, not a curated record. NCBI's taxonomy places the organism in Eukaryota, Metazoa, Chordata, Aves, Passeriformes, Passerellidae.